UACGUAGGUGGCAAGCGUUGUCCGGAAUUAUUGGGCGUAAAGCGCGCGCAGGCGGUCCUUUAAGUCUGAUGUGAAAGCCCACGGCUCAACCGUGGAGGGUCAUUGGAAACUGGGGGACUUGAGUGCAGGAGAGGAGAGUGGAAUUCCUGGUGUAGCGGUGAAAUGCGCAGAUAUCAGGAAGAACACCCGUGGCGAAGGCGGCUCUCUGGAACGCAACUGACGCUGAGACGCGAAAGCGUGGGGAGCAAACAGG
Molecule: ribosomal RNA, 253 nt
Filed under: uncultured bacterium
Lineage: Bacteria
Description: partial 16S ribosomal RNA
Rfam family: Bacterial small subunit ribosomal RNA
Source: RNAcentral